CGCCAUUAUUGUACAGGGCGGCGUGGUGUACGGUUGACUAAUGAAGAUGGAUAACAAGAUAAACGUACACACAAGUUUGCGCUUGUGUUGUUUGAUUUUGAUGGUUACACUGCUGUAGUGGAGUCAAAACGUCUUGAAGGAUAUGAUGGUGUACUGGAACGUUCUGUGAAGUGCAGGAUUUAUUAUGAAUGCAAGUUCUAUUCUGUGGAAGUUCUGGAUUUAACAGAAACAGAGGAAGAUGCAAAUCGAAGAGAUACCCAGUGGGGGAGAUCUCAUCGGGCCAGAACAAUUGGAAGGGAAAGGGAUAGCAGGGAGGAAGAGAAUUCUCGACACACGAAAUAUGGUGGAUACCUUAAUGUUUGGCCAGAUGAUGCUGUUUUAGAGCUUGAAUCUGAAAGCAAUAACUCAGUAUGCAGUGACAGUGGAGUUGAUGCAAGAACUGAAAAGG
This is a long non-coding RNA of Saccostrea cuccullata (small rock oyster), 448 nucleotides long. RefSeq lists it as uncharacterized. The record is from RefSeq and is a predicted model, not a curated record. Lineage: Eukaryota; Metazoa; Mollusca; Bivalvia; Ostreida; Ostreidae. The transcript is spliced from 4 exons.